Molecule: ribosomal RNA, 811 nt
Filed under: uncultured Actinomycetes bacterium
Lineage: Bacteria; Bacillati; Actinomycetota; Actinomycetes
Description: bacterial SSU rRNA
Rfam family: Bacterial small subunit ribosomal RNA
Source: RNAcentral
GCCUGCAGCUUGCUGCGGGUACUCGAGUGGCGAACGGGUGAGUAACACGUGGGUGAUCUGCCUUGCACUUCGGGAUAAGCUUGGGAAACUGGGUCUAAUACCGGAUAGGACAGCUGUUUAGUGUCAGUUGUGGAAAGUUUUUUCGGUGCAAGAUGAGCUCGCGGCCUAUCAGCUUGUUGGUGGGGUAAUGGCCUACCAAGGCGUCGACGGGUAGCCGGCCUGAGAGGGUGUACGGCCACAUUGGGACUGAGAUACGGCCCAGACUCCUACGGGAGGCAGCAGUGGGGAAUAUUGCACAAUGGGCGGAAGCCUGAUGCAGCGACGCCGCGUGGGGGAUGAAGGCCUUCGGGUUGUAAACUCCUUUCGACAGGGACGAAGCGUAAGUGACGGUACCUGUAUAAGAAGCACCGGCUAACUACGUGCCAGCAGCCGCGGUAAUACGUAGGGUGCGAGCGUUGUCCGGAAUUACUGGGCGUAAAGAGCUCGUAGGUGGUUUGUCGCGUCGUCUGUGAAAUUCCGGGGCUUAACUCCGGGCGUGCAGGCGAUACGGGCUGACUUGAGUGCUGUAGGGGAGACUGGAAUUCCUGGUGUAGCGGUGAAAUGCGCAGAUAUCAGGAGGAACACCGAUGGCGAAGGCAGGUCUCUGGGCAGUAACUGACGCUGAGGAGCGAAAGCAUGGGUAGCGAACAGGAUUAGAUACCCUGGUAGUCCAUGCCGUAAACGGUGGGCGCUAGGUGUAGGGGGCUUCCACGUCUUCUGUGCCGUAGCUAACGCAUUAAGCGCCCCGCCUGGGGAGUACGCCGCAAGGCUA